GACGAACCGUGCGAACGUUGUUCGGAAUCACUGGGCUUAAAGGGCGCGUAGGCGGGCUGACAAGUCUGGGGUGAAAUCCCGCGGCUCAACCGUGGAACUGCCUUAGAUACUGUCGGCCUCGAGGAAGGUAGGGGCAUGCGGAACUGUAGGUGGAGCGGUGAAAUGCGUUGAUAUCUACAGGAACUCCGGUGGCGAAAGCGGCGUGCUGGACCUUUUCUGACGCUGAGGCGCGAAAGCUAGGGGAGCAAACGGGG
This 254-nucleotide ribosomal RNA is filed under the name uncultured bacterium. RNAcentral's name for it is "partial 16S ribosomal RNA". It matches the Rfam family "Bacterial small subunit ribosomal RNA", at positions 524 to 777 of the family's 1533-position model. The record is from RNAcentral.